UGAGUAACACGUAGGUAAUCUACCCUCGGGUGGAGGAUAACUUUCCGAAAGGAAGGCUAAUACUGCAUGAGACCACGACCUCGAAAGGGGAUGGGGGUCAAAGCCGGCCUCUGUACACAAGCUGGCGCCUGAGGAUGAGCCUGCGGCCCAUCAGCUAGUUGGUAGGGUAAUGGCCUACCAAGGCGAAGACGGGUAGCUGGUCUGAGAGGAUGAUCAGCCACACUGGAACUGAGACACGGUCCAGACUCCUACGGGAGGCAGCAGUGGGGAAUCUUGCGCAAUGGGCGAAAGCCUGACGCAGCGACGCCGCGUGAGUGAUGAAGGCCUUCGGGUUGUAAAGCUCUGUGGAGAGGGACGAAUAAGUGUUGGCUAACAUCCAGCAUGAUGACGGUACCUCUUUAGCAAGCACCGGCUAACUCUGUG
RNAcentral lists this ribosomal RNA (423 nucleotides) under uncultured bacterium. RNAcentral describes it as "bacterial SSU rRNA". It matches the Rfam family "Bacterial small subunit ribosomal RNA", at positions 107 to 507 of the family's 1533-position model. The record is from RNAcentral.